Molecule: long non-coding RNA, 1822 nt
Organism: Brassica napus (rape)
Lineage: Eukaryota; Viridiplantae; Streptophyta; Magnoliopsida; Brassicales; Brassicaceae
Exons: 9
Source: RefSeq, a predicted model, not a curated record
UGAUAGGUGGAAGCCUGAUUUGGCAAUGGUUACAGCAAAUGGUGAAAGUUGGUGCACCUGAUUUGUGAUCCGUACCGGUGCUUUCAGAAGUCCACAUUAACGCACCACAUUUUGAGCAUGCUACGAUUGGGUUUUCAUCGAGUUGUGACGUCGAACCUUUUUCUGAAAAAUAUUUGUUAUAAAAUGUUAAAUUAUAGUUUAUUUAACAUCUUAGGAAUUUAUCAGAGGUCAAGGAAUUAUAAAAUUAGUUUUUGUAAAAAAUCUUAUAUAGGAGAAGUAUGAAGGGGAGGUGGAACAAAACAGUGAAGAUUCGCUUUAAAAUCGCCAUUGAUGAGAAGGUAACGGGAAAAAGAAAAAUAGAGAUCGGAGAAGAUGAAGCGGAAGAGUCGGGGGAGAAACUCUACGGUUGAAGACGAAGCAGCUUUGUUUAAAUCCACCAUUAGAGACGUGAUGUAGGGUUCCACCACAAUCGUCUAAAUCGGCCAUUAGAGAGACUGAGAUGCAGAAGUCUGUGUGACGAUUCCGUUGGUUGGGUUUCGAUCAGUCCUUUCGCCUUCUUUCCUCCAUCCAUCACAGUAAACGAGAUAGUAAAAAUCAGUGUUUGUAUGAUUUUCUUAAUCUCUAGAUUAUUUUAAGAUUACAAGUUUAUACUAUGGGAUGGAUAAUGUGAGGAAACCUGUUGUGAAUCCUUUUAGCUCGGAUUUACCCGGGGAUGACGACUCACUAAUGUGCCUCAACUAAAGACAAAUGUUCUUGAGUAAUAACUACUUAACAAGUGAAGUUCCUCUAUUUGUCCUCAACAGUAGAGCCAUGCUGGUGAUUGUUGCUACAAACAUUAACCCAAAAAUGGUUGGAGGCCGUUUGUUCCUUAAUUCCAUGUCGGAAAUACACAUUUACUAAGACAACGAAACAAAUGCAGGAGAACCUGUAUUUACAGGUUGGUCGCCAGAGACACUGGUCUUCCAUUGGCCGCACCACUCCUGAGAGGGUAUGCAAAGGUUGAGCUCCUGACAAUAGCUGAGCUCAAUAGUUUUGUCAUCACUGCACCGUCUCGGAAUAUUGAGUUCAUAUGCACUGGGAGAGUUACUCGCGUCGACCUAGAGAAAGGAUGGUGUUACGUCGCUUGCUCUGAAUGCACCAAAAGCUGCAGCGCACUGACUCCUCAUUUGCAUGUGUGCGAUGCGAUAAUGCUCAUGCUGUUGGUGCUCUCCGCUACCGAUACUGCUGAAGGUUUUUUUGUUUGUUUUGAUGAUGUAAUGACAAAAUUACAUAACCUCAAAGCAAGUCAAGCUGGUCAAAUGUUGGCUGAAAAAGGUGUGAACCCUGAGGACUCUCGGAUGCCUCUGUUUAUUACAUACAUGGAAGGAAAGACAUACGGCGAGCCAUCAGACAUUCACCAUCACACGCAUUUUUGAUGAACAUGAUCGUGUGCCCCUCCCUCACUUCGUUGACAAUGGAGGGUACGAUGAUGAUGGUGGCGACAUGCCAGGUGAUAAUCCAAUUCCUGCUAAGAUCGAAUCUGGAGGGAGCAGUGGUGAAGCAGCUUUGAAUGGUGGUACGGAUACAAAUGGUGAUGUGUCAAACAAGGUGGCCAAUCCAGCUUCGCAGGUUGUCAAGAAGGCGCGUAUGGCGUAAGUUAAGAUAACAAGAUCUUUGAGCGAAGUACUCUCUAUCUAGAUAAUGCUUAUGCAUGAGCUUUCCUUUUCACGUUUUCGUUUUCUCUACUUUUGACUUUCACCACUUACUACUUAGUGGGUUCUAUGUUUGAGUCAAACAAACUUCUUAUUUCCUAUUAAAAAUAUAUUUAAGCUUCAUGAUCUGA